This 253-nucleotide ribosomal RNA is filed under the name uncultured prokaryote. Its description in RNAcentral is "partial 16S ribosomal RNA". It matches the Rfam family "Bacterial small subunit ribosomal RNA", at positions 524 to 776 of the family's 1533-position model. The record is from RNAcentral.
UACGGAGGGGGCUAGCGUUGUUCGGAAUUACUGGGCGUAAAGCGCACGUAGGCGGCUUUGUAAGUUAGAGGUGAAAGCCCGGGGCUCAACUCCGGAAUUGCCUUUAAGACUGCAUCGCUAGAAUUGUGGAGAGGUAAGUGGAAUUCCGAGUGUAGAGGUGAAAUGCGUAGAGAUCGGAAAGAACACCAACGGCGAAAGCACUCUGCUGGGCCGACACUGACACUGAGAGACGAAAGCUAGGGGAGCGAAUGGG